CAGUAGCCACGGGAAUACAGAGGGUGCGAGCGUUAAUCGGAUUUACUGGGCGUAAAGGGCGCGUAGGCGGUUUAGUGAGUGUGAUGUGAAAGCCCCGGGCUUAACCUGGGAAGUGCAUCGCAAACGACUAAACUGGAGUAUAAGAGAGGGUGGCGGAAUUUCCGGUGUAGCGGUGAAAUGCGUAGAGAUCGGAAGGAACGUCAAUGGCGAAGGCAGCCACCUGGCUUAAUACUGACGCUGAGGCGCGAAAGCGUGGGGAUCAAACAGGAUUAGAUACCCCAGUAGUCCCUGUCUCUUAUAC
This 301-nucleotide ribosomal RNA is filed under the name uncultured bacterium. Its description in RNAcentral is "partial 16S ribosomal RNA". It matches the Rfam family "Bacterial small subunit ribosomal RNA", at positions 509 to 807 of the family's 1533-position model. The record is from RNAcentral.